RNAcentral lists this ribosomal RNA (435 nucleotides) under uncultured bacterium. Its description in RNAcentral is "partial 16S ribosomal RNA". It matches the Rfam family "Bacterial small subunit ribosomal RNA", at positions 29 to 507 of the family's 1533-position model. The record is from RNAcentral.
AGCGAACGCUGGCGGCAGGCUUAACACAUGCAAGUCGAGCGGGCACUUUCGGGUGUCCGCGGCGGACGGGUGAGUAACGCGUGGGAACGUGCCCUCUGGUUCGGAAUAACUCAGGGAAACUUGAGCUAAUACCGGAUACGCCCUUUUGGGGAAAGGCUUGCUGCCGGAGGAUCGGCCCGCGUCUGAUUAGCUAGUUGGUGAGGUAACGGCUCACCAAGGCGACGAUCAGUAGCUGGUCUGAGAGGAUGAUCAGCCACACUGGGACUGAGACACGGCCCAGACUCCUACGGGAGGCAGCAGUGGGGAAUAUUGGACAAUGGGCGCAAGCCUGAUCCAGCCAUGCCGCGUGAGUGAUGAAGGCCUUAGGGUUGUAAAGCUCUUUUAUCCGGGACGAUAAUGACGGUACCGGAGGAAUAAGCCCCGGCCAACUUCGUG